AAAGACCAUCACUGAUCUAUGUCUUAUUGCCUGAUUCUCAGCACCUAUACCUGGUACUGAUCUAGGUAUGUAGAGUAUAUCACAUUGUCACCAGUACACGAUGGUCCAUUCGCUUCUUUUGUUCAAUCCUCUUCAGUCUCUUCACCUGGCUGAAGUGCUCAUGAAUAAACUCUGCUGUCAGUAAGGAAAGUGUGGACCCUCGGCACCAGGUGACCUGAUAGGCAUUUCAAAUGCUCAGUCUCACUCACUCCUCCUCGGUGUCCAAAGAGGCUAUCACAGAAUUGUUGUCCCAGGGAAAAGUGGUACAAGGAAAUCUACAGGACAGAUGAAUAUAGGAUGUCACAAUUGAGAGAAGAUAACCUUGGGCAAAACCUGCAGGAGCUGCCCACUUGUAGGAACCGAGGCAAUUCAAUGGAGGAAAAUGACUCAAAAUGGAUUAUGCCCUCUAUAUAGAAUACAAAAUGGUAACAUUUCUAGACUAUAACAUAAGAUGAAAUCUAGG
This 502-nucleotide long non-coding RNA is filed under the name Fukomys damarensis (Damara mole-rat). RNAcentral describes it as "lncRNA (ENSFDAG00000030054.1)". Lineage: Eukaryota; Metazoa; Chordata; Mammalia; Rodentia; Bathyergidae. The record is from RNAcentral.